RNAcentral lists this non-coding RNA (28 nucleotides) under Homo sapiens (human). Lineage: Eukaryota; Metazoa; Chordata; Mammalia; Primates; Hominidae. The record is from RNAcentral.
UGGCAUCUCAUCCAAGGCCAUGGGCAUC